This 1026-nucleotide ribosomal RNA is filed under the name Saccharata proteae. RNAcentral's name for it is "SSU rRNA". It matches the Rfam family "Eukaryotic small subunit ribosomal RNA", at positions 72 to 1106 of the family's 1831-position model. Lineage: Eukaryota; Fungi; Ascomycota; Dothideomycetes; Botryosphaeriales; Saccharataceae. The record is from RNAcentral.
AUCUAUACUGUGAAACUGCGAAUGGCUCAUUAAAUCAGUUAUCGUUUAUUUGAUAGUACCUUUUCACUUGGAUAACCGUGGAAAAGCUAGAGCUAAUACAUGCUAAAAACCCCGACUUCGGAAGGGGUGUAUUUAUUAGAUAAAAAACCAAUGCCCCUCGGGGCUCACUGGUGAUUCAUAAUAACUUAACGAAUCGCAUGGCCUUGCGCCGGCGAUGGUUCAUUCAAAUUUCUGCCCUAUCAACUUUCGAUGGUAGGAUAGUGGCCUACCAUGGUAUCAACGGGUAACGGGGAAUUAGGGUUCUAUUCCGGAGAGGGAGCCUGAGAAACGGCUACCACAUCCAAGGAAGGCAGCAGGCGCGCAAAUUACCCAAUCCCGACACGGGGAGGUAGUGACAAUAAAUACUGAUACAGGGCUCUUUUGGGUCUUGUAAUUGGAAUGAGAACAAUUUAAAUACCUUAACGAGGAACAAUUGGAGGGCAAGUCUGGUGCCAGCAGCCGCGGUAAUUCCAGCUCCAAUAGCGUAUAUUAAAGUUGUUGCAGUUAAAAAGCUCGUAGUUGAACCUUGGGCCUGGCUGGCCGGUCCGCCUCACCGCGUGCACUGGUCCGGCCGGGCCUUUCCUUCUGGGGAACUGCAUGCCCUUCACUGGGUGUGUCAGGGAACCAGGACUUUUACUUUGAAAAAAUUAGAGUGUUCAAAGCAGGCCUUUGCUCGAAUACAUUAGCAUGGAAUAAUAGAAUAGGACGUGCGGCCCUAUUUUGUUGGUUUCUAGGACCGCCGUAAUGAUUAAUAGGGAUAGUCGGGGGCGUCAGUAUUCAAUUGUCAGAGGUGAAAUUCUUGGAUUUAUUGAAGACUAGCUACUGCGAAAGCAUUCGCCAAGGAUGUUUUCAUUAAUCAGUGAACGAAAGUUAGGGGAUCGAAGACGAUCAGAUACCGUCGUAGUCUUAACCGUAAACUAUGCCGACUAGGGAUCGGACGAUGUUAUUAUUUUGACUCGUUCGGCACCUUACGAGAAAUCAAAGUCU